AAUAGAUACCCAGGUAGUCCACCCCGUAAACAUUGGGAACUAGUUGUGGGGUCCAUUCCACGGAUUCCGUGACGCAGCUAACGCAUUAAGUUCCCCGCCUGGGGAGUACGGCCGCAAGGCUAAAACUCAAAGGAAUUGACGGGGACCCGCACAAGCGGCGGAGCAUGCGGAUUAAUUCGAUGCAACGCGAAGAACCUUACCAAGGCUUGACAUAUACGAGAACGCUGCAGAAAUGUAGAACUCUUUGGACACUCGUAAACAGGUGGUGCAUGGUUGUCGUCAGCUCGUGUCGUGAGAUGUUGGGUUAAGUCCCGCAACGAGCGCAACCCUCGUUCUAUGUUGCCAGCACGUAAUGGUGGGAACUCAUGGGAUACUGCCGGGGUCAACUCGGAGGAAGGUGGGGAUGACGUCAAAUCAUCAUGCCCCUUAUGUCUUGGGCUUCACGCAUGCUACAAUGGCCGGUACAAAGGGCUGCAAUACCGUAAGGUGGAGCGAAUCCCAAAAAAGCCGGUCCCAGUUCGGAUUGAGGU
RNAcentral lists this ribosomal RNA (530 nucleotides) under uncultured bacterium. RNAcentral describes it as "bacterial SSU rRNA". It matches the Rfam family "Bacterial small subunit ribosomal RNA", at positions 777 to 1304 of the family's 1533-position model. The record is from RNAcentral.